AUUGAACGCUGGCGGCAUGCUUUACACAUGCAAGUCGAACGGUAACAGGCCGCAAGGUGCUGACGAGUGGCGAACGGGUGAGUAGUGCAUCGGAACGUGCCCAGUCGUGGGGGAUAACUACUCGAAAGAGUAGCUAAUACCGCAUACGAUCUAUGGAUGAAAGCGGGGGACCGUAAGGCCUCGCGCGAUUGGAGCGGCCGAUGUCAGAUUAGGUAGUUGGUGGGGUAAAGGCUCACCAAGCCAACGAUCUGUAGCUGGCCUGAGAGGACAACCAGCCACACUGGGACUGAGACACGGCCCAGACUCCUACGGGAGGCAGCAGUGGGGAAUUUUGGACAAUGGGCGCAAGCCUGAUCCAGCAAUGCCGCGUGCAGGAAGAAGGCCUUCGGGUUGUAAACUGCUUUUGUACGGAACGAAACGGCUCUGGUUAAUACCCGGGGCUAAUGACGGUACCGUAAGAAUAAGCACCGGCUAACUACGUG
RNAcentral lists this ribosomal RNA (482 nucleotides) under uncultured bacterium. RNAcentral's name for it is "partial 16S ribosomal RNA". It matches the Rfam family "Bacterial small subunit ribosomal RNA", at positions 30 to 507 of the family's 1533-position model. The record is from RNAcentral.